UAGGGAAUCUUCCGCAAUGGGCGAAAGCCUGACGGAGCAACGCCGCGUGAGUGAUGAAGGUCUUCGGAUCGUAAAACUCUGUUAUUAGGGAAGAAUAAAUGUGUAAGUAACUAUGCACGUCUUGACGGUACCUAAUCAGAAAGCCACGGCUAACUACGUGCCAGCAGCCGCGGUAAUACGUAGGUGGCAAGCGUUAUCCGGAAUUAUUGGGCGUAAAGCGCGCGUAGGCGGUUUUUUAAGUCUGAUGUGAAAGCCCACGGCUCAACCGUGGAGGGUCAUUGGAAACUGGAAAACUUGAGUGCAGAAGAGGAAAGUGGAAUUCCAUGUGUAGCGGUGAAAUGCGCAGAGAUAUGGAGGAACACCAGUGGCGAAGGCGACUUUCUGGUCUGUAACUGACGCGGAGGUUCGAAAGCGUGGGUAGCAAACAGG
This 429-nucleotide ribosomal RNA is filed under the name Bacteroidota bacterium. RNAcentral describes it as "Bacteroidetes bacterium partial 16S ribosomal RNA". It matches the Rfam family "Bacterial small subunit ribosomal RNA", at positions 355 to 776 of the family's 1533-position model. The record is from RNAcentral. Lineage: Bacteria; Pseudomonadati; Bacteroidota.